UAGGGAAUAUUGCACAAUGGGGGAAACCCUGAUGCAGCGACGCCGCGUGAAGGAAGAAGUAUCUCGGUAUGUAAACUUCUAUCAGCAGGGAAGACAAUGACGGUACCUGACUAAGAAGCCCCGGCUAAAUACGUGCCAGCAGCCGCGGUAAUACGUAUGGAGCAAGCGUUAUCCGGAUUUACUGGGUGUAAAGGGAGCGCAGGCGGCGCGGCAAGUCAGAUGUGAAAGCCCGGGGCUCAACCCCGGGACUGCAUUUGAAACUGCCGUGCUGGAGUGUCGGAGAGGCAAGUGGAAUUCCUAGUGUAGCGGUGAAAUGCGUAGAUAUUAGGAGGAACACCAGUGGCGAAGGCGGCUUGCUGGACGAUAACUGACGCUGAGGCUCGAAAGCGUGGGGAGCAAACAGGAUUUAGAUACC
Molecule: ribosomal RNA, 415 nt
Filed under: uncultured bacterium
Lineage: Bacteria
Description: bacterial SSU rRNA
Rfam family: Bacterial small subunit ribosomal RNA
Source: RNAcentral